GGGAGGUAGUGACAAUAAAUAACAAUACGGGGUCCUUUCGGGUUUCGUAAUUGGAAUGAGUACAAUUUAAAUCUCUUAACGAGGAACAAUUGGAGGGCAAGUCUGGUGCCAGCAGCCGCGGUAAUUCCAGCUCCAAUAGCGUAUAUUAAAGUUGUUGCAGUUAAAAAGCUCGUAGUUGAAUUUCGGGGUUAGUAAGUUGGUCAUGCCAUUGGUAUGCACUGGCUCUACUGAUUCCUCCUUCUUGACGAACCGUGAUGUCAUUAAUUUGGUGUUGCAGGAAAUCAGGACUGUUACUUUGAAAAAUUAGAGUGUUUAAAGCAGGCUAAGGCUUGAAUACAUUAGCAUGGAAUAAUGAAAUAGGACGUUUGAUCCUAUUUUGUUGGUUUCUAGGAUUGACGUAAUGAUUAAUAGGGAUAGUUGGG
This 422-nucleotide ribosomal RNA is filed under the name uncultured Glomeraceae. Its description in RNAcentral is "SSU rRNA". It matches the Rfam family "Eukaryotic small subunit ribosomal RNA", at positions 459 to 886 of the family's 1831-position model. The record is from RNAcentral. Lineage: Eukaryota; Fungi; Glomeromycota; Glomeromycetes; Glomerales; Glomeraceae.